RNAcentral lists this unclassified non-coding RNA (930 nucleotides) under Hevea brasiliensis (rubber tree). Lineage: Eukaryota; Viridiplantae; Streptophyta; Magnoliopsida; Malpighiales; Euphorbiaceae. The record is from RNAcentral.
AGACAUCCAUCUUAACAUUCACAUUUCUACCACAUUCAUUUUGUGGGUAUAUUGUACUUUAAAUGCCUAAUAUUCACUUCCAUACAACAUAACUGGUUUAACCUAUUCCUAUAGAACUUACUUUUCACUUUGUUAAGGAAACCAAACUUUUAAAAAAACUAACCAAACAAAACUAACCAAAAAACCAAUUAAAAAUUGUUUGGUUCAGUUCGAUUUGAUUAAAACUGAUUUUUGCUCACCUUAACAAUGCCUUCUCAAUGAUCACAUUGUGACAAUGCCUUCUCAAUGAAAUCACUUUGAGGUUGUGACUUUAGACAAUUCAAAGGUAAAUUAGUUGUCUAGCAUGUUGAGAACUUGAUAUCCUUCUUUAGUUGCUUAACUUCCUUUGUGACACUACCCUUAAUCUGUUAUUGCUUAAUAAUAUUACCUUUGUGCAAGAUGAGAGUUCUUUUUUUUCCCCCCUUUUUUAUAUAAUUGAAAGAAUGAAUGUUGAGAAAUUGAAAUACGUAUGUUGUUUUCUCUACCAAAGGCAAAUUGCAAGACCAAUGAUAUUUCUGGUUUUUAGGGCUCACGAGAACAAGAUUAUUCUCUUUUGCUUCUAACUGUAAUUGGGUCCCCAAGUAGUAACUCACAGUCAAAUAUUGGCUACCUUUGGGGCUUUUGUUGCCACUGGAAUAAACUCAGACCCAAAAUUGGCCCAAUCGACUAAGCGAACCAAAAUAUUUCAGUUUGGUUCAAUUUGGUUUACUUAUUAUUUCAAUUCGAUUUGGUCUAUAAAAUAAGUGAUUCAGUUCUUUGGUUUUUUUUGUUCAAUUCAAAAUCAAUCUGACCAAUUGACCUUAAGUAUGAGAAGGUGAAGUGAAAUUUUAAGAUUAUAUAAAUACCUUUAUUUUUUAGAGAGAUAUAUUUUAAUAUUUAAAUAAGGACAAA